UGCAAGUCGUGCGGACCUUUUAAAAGCUUGCUUUUAACAAGGCUAGCGGCGGACGGGUGAGUAACACGUGGGCAACCUGCCUGUAAGACCGGGAUAACGCCGGGAAACCGGGGCUAAUACCGGAUAGUUUUUUCCUCCGCAUGGAGGAAAAAGGAAAGGCGGCUUCGGCUGCCACUUACAGAUGGGCCCGCGGCGCAUUAGCUAGUUGGCGGGGUAAUGGCCCACCAAGGCAACGAUGCGUAGCCGACCUGAGAGGGUGAUCGGCCACAUUGGGACUGAGACACGGCCCAAACUCCUACGGGAGGCAGCAGUAGGGAAUCUUCCGCAAUGGACGAAAGUCUGACGGAGCAACGCCGCGUGAGUGAAGAAGGCCUUCGGGUCGUAAAACUCUGUUGCCGGGGAAGAACAAGUGCCGUUCGAACAGGGCGGCGCCUUGACGGUACCCGGCCAGAAAGCCACGGCUAACUAC
RNAcentral lists this ribosomal RNA (469 nucleotides) under uncultured bacterium. Its description in RNAcentral is "bacterial SSU rRNA". It matches the Rfam family "Bacterial small subunit ribosomal RNA", at positions 56 to 504 of the family's 1533-position model. The record is from RNAcentral.